GACGAACGCUGGCGGCGUGCUUAACACAUGCAAGUCGAACGGAAAGGCCCUGCUUUUGUGGGGUGCUCGAGUGGCGAACGGGUGAGUAACACGUGAGUAACCUGCCCAUGACUUUGGGAUAACUUCAGGAAACUGGGGCUAAUACCGGAUAGGAGCUCCUGCUGCAUGGGGGGGGUUGGAAAGUUUCGGCGGUUGGGGAUGGACUCGCGGCUUAUCAGCUUGUUGGUGGGGUAGUGGCUUACCAAGGCUUUGACGGGUAGCCGGCCUGAGAGGGUGACCGGCCACAUUGGGACUGAGAUACGGCCCAGACUCCUACGGUAGGCAGCAGUGGGGAAUAUUGCACAAUGGGCGGAAGCCUGAUGCAGCAACGCCGCGUGCGGGAUGACGGCCUUCGGGUUGUAAACCGCUUUCGCCUGUGACGAAGCGUGAGUGACGGUAAUGGGUAAAGAAGCACCGGCUAACUACGUG
RNAcentral lists this ribosomal RNA (468 nucleotides) under uncultured bacterium. RNAcentral describes it as "partial 16S ribosomal RNA". It matches the Rfam family "Bacterial small subunit ribosomal RNA", at positions 28 to 507 of the family's 1533-position model. The record is from RNAcentral.